UUAUAUCUCCCCUCUAUCCACAAGAGGACCCCAAAAUUAUACUGACUUGCCCCAGCUAUGAACCUACAUAAAUGAAUUUAACUGUCUACCCCUCAGGACCAGAAGUUGGUAAUUUCUCAUGAGCAACAGAGAAGAACAGAAGGGACAGACUUUGGGGCUCAUCAAGCAACAAGCUCUCUGAUAAAGUUUUUUAAAAAAGACAAAAGAUGUGGACCACAAAGGACCCUUUGAGAAGCAUAGGCCUAAAUGAUCUUGGGUCCCUUCUCAAUUCUUACUGUAACAUCCUGUCACUUUAAAGGCUUUUCCUUCUGUGACUGCAGCUGUUACGACUGCUCUUCUUCAAGGGCUGGUUCCAGCGCCACGGAGCAAGUGCAUCCUGAGUCACUCCGACAUCUCCCUACCGUCACACAUUUUUGGACCCUAUCAAAUACCUACUCAAACAACAUGAGGCGUGUUCUGGUGUAAAUGUUUAUUUUCCCCAAUAAAUCUGUUUUUUUUUGUUGUUGAAAA
Molecule: long non-coding RNA, 510 nt
Organism: Cervus elaphus (red deer)
Lineage: Eukaryota; Metazoa; Chordata; Mammalia; Artiodactyla; Cervidae
Exons: 3
Source: RefSeq, a predicted model, not a curated record